This 76-nucleotide transfer RNA is filed under the name Candidatus Parabeggiatoa sp. HSG14. Its description in RNAcentral is "tRNA-His". It matches the Rfam family "tRNA". From Rfam's summary of the family: Transfer RNA (tRNA) molecules are approximately 80 nucleotides in length. RNAcentral also lists the same sequence under 1 other name. Lineage: Bacteria; Pseudomonadati; Pseudomonadota; Gammaproteobacteria; Thiotrichales; Thiotrichaceae. The record is from RNAcentral.
GAGAGUAUAGCUCAGUUGGUAGAGCACUGGAUUGUGGCUCCAGAUGGCGCGGGUUCGAGUCCCGUUACUCUCCCCA